This 254-nucleotide ribosomal RNA is filed under the name Thalassiosira antarctica. RNAcentral's name for it is "partial Bacterial large subunit ribosomal RNA". It matches the Rfam family "Bacterial large subunit ribosomal RNA", at positions 195 to 503 of the family's 2925-position model. Lineage: Eukaryota; Bacillariophyta; Thalassiosirophyceae; Thalassiosirales; Thalassiosiraceae. The record is from RNAcentral.
GAAACAUCUAAGUACCCGGAGGAAAGGAAAUCAAUAUGAUACUCCCCUAGUAGCGGCGAGCGAACGGGGACCAGCCGAGCCAUGAGUGUGGUUAGAAUGCGUUGGAAUGCGCAACCAGAGUGGGUGAUAGUCCCGUAUAAGAAGCAUGAUUGGACGUAUUAAGUAGGGCGGAACACGUGAAAUUCUGUCUGAAGAUCGGGGGACCACCCCCGAAGGCUAAGUACUCCUUACUGACCGAUAGCGAACCAGUACCG